AAUACAGCCGUUAGAAUCGAAGGUUGAAGCCAUUCAGAACUUCCCGGUACCCAAGACGCUAAAAGAAUUACGAAGAUUUUUAGAUGCCCUUUCGCGUAUCGAGGCAGUUUCUAUACCCUUAGAUUACCACUCCCUGGUCAAAGCACAAGAGGCGGACAGCGAGCUACA
Molecule: long non-coding RNA, 168 nt
Organism: Nymphalis io (European peacock)
Lineage: Eukaryota; Metazoa; Arthropoda; Insecta; Lepidoptera; Nymphalidae
Exons: 2
Source: RefSeq, a predicted model, not a curated record